Caldanaerobius fijiensis DSM 17918 is the source of this 189-nucleotide non-coding RNA. Lineage: Bacteria; Bacillati; Bacillota; Clostridia; Thermoanaerobacterales; Thermoanaerobacteraceae. The record is from Rfam.
GACAACUGACUCAUUGAAUUCAGAGGUGAAAUUCCUCUGCCACACAGAACCGACGCUGAUGAGGCGUACCAAAGCUGAAGCGGUGUGCGUGUUGAUACUCCUGUAUGCCAUCAUGUAUUGCUGUAUAUGGUGGUAUAAAGCCAGGUGAAGCCGAAAGGCGAGGAUGAUAAUGGUGCGGACAUCCAGGCU